Molecule: long non-coding RNA, 11412 nt
Filed under: Ananas comosus (pineapple)
Lineage: Eukaryota; Viridiplantae; Streptophyta; Magnoliopsida; Poales; Bromeliaceae
Description: long non-coding RNA (ACOM_LNC009023)
Source: RNAcentral
GACCGGUUCCCGAACCUUGGUGGUUCUGUCACGCAGCGAGGGACCGGUCUCAAGUUUGAGAGACCGGUUCCCGAACGUGGGGUUUUUGGUCACGCAGGGAGGGACCGGUUCCUCACUUGAGAGACCGGUCUCUCACAGACCGGUCUCCUCGACAGGACCGGUCUCUGAGGACGACACAGGUUUUUGAAAUCGACUUUUUGCAAUCCUAGUCUACUUCUAAGUCUUCUAAACAUAUAAAUAAGCUAUGUGGGUCAUCUAAAAUUAAGGCUUUGAAUAUUUUACCAAUUCUAAACCCUAGAAACUCGUUUUCUUCGCUUCGAUUUACAUGAUGAGUUUCUAGCAAUCAACAUUGGCUUGUUUCUUCGUUUUUACACAAUAUUUCUUACAAGAAUCAAGUAGAUGAUUGAUUAAAGGUGAAUCCUCACAGCUUAUGGUUUUCAAAAGAUAAAUCACCGCAAAUCUUCAAUUCUACAAGCUCCGGAAGGAGGUUCGGCGCGAGGAUCUCGCGCGAAGCCGAGGAUUCGGUGGACGCUUUGAGGAGUUGAGGCGUUGACGCUGCGAGGAGUUGCAGCAAGGUCGAUUGGUGGAUUCCUAUCGAUCGAGGACCGGCAAAGAUCACCGUCAACAAGAAAUCGGUAAAUUGAGUCGCGUGUUUUUGGUCGAAAUCACUUGUACUCAUGUUUUCUUAGUGGAUUUUCUUUGCGUGAUCGGUCCCGUGGGUUUUUCACUCCGAAUUGGAGUUUUCCCACGUUAAAUUCUCGGUGUGCUAUUUUAAUUUCCGCUAUUGUGUUUGUUUGCAUCGAGAUUGUUUGAGUUUGCCGGAUUUACACCUAUUCACCCCCCUCUAGGUGUUACUUACCUUUUAGAUCCUCGGGAUCCAUAACUCACAUCUACCAUACAUAUAACCCCUCGGGGGCUCACAGGUUGACACCUACAACCACUUUUCCGAAAAAGAACACCCUCUUGCGGUGGAUCAGACCGCUGGCGUUCGUGAAAUGCGAACGAGUCUCGGGCGGUCAAUGCUGAUAUGCUCAAAGGCCAACCGUCGGCAACCAGCCGACAAUCCUGCCCCUCAGGGCCCCACCGACCGUAUAGGUCAUCAACUGUAAGGAAGAAUAAGAACUGACCACUCAAGUCAACUAGGAUGGAACAACUCAACAUCCUCUCAAAAGCAUGCAAAUACUGCUCAAUAGGUCAACUAAAGUGUAGAUGCAAGAACCGACAAUAGGUCACAAUACGACAUACAUGAACCGACCAACCAGGUCACUGAUACGGAGUGCGAGAAUCGACCAACCAGGUCACUGAUAUGAAGUACAAGAAUCGACCAACCAGGUCACUGAUAUGAAGUACAAGAAUCGACCAACCAGGUCUCUAAUAUGAAGUACAAGAAUUGACCAACUAGGUCACUGAUAUGAAGCACAAGAAUCGACCAACCAGGUCAUAGGUAUCACAAAUAGAUAGACUACUCUACUCCUACACCUGAUACUAAGCAUGGGAACAUCUAAGUAGAGUGUACUAUAAACAAUAGAGGUGCAAAGCUCAACAUAUAAUAUAUGCAUGGAUAGUAACCAAAAGAGCAAAGGUAAGAAACCAUCACUGAGAGUGCACCACUGUACCAACGUCGGAUCGAAGUACCUACCUGUAAGGAUAUUGUGCCUGUCUCCUGACUGCAAAAGAACGUCAACUGGACCUAAGGAAGGUCCACCGGGUUAGUGUCUAACCCACAACUAAUAACCAUAGUAUCACAACUCCACAAACAAUCCCACGGCGAUCGGUUUCCCAAAACCAAUUACCGUAACUCGCCGGAAGUCCCGAAAAUCGCACUGGGACUCCGCCGGGACCCACGAAUUGUCCCGGAACACACCGACUCAUGCUACGAGUCACCCGCUGCCACUAAACAUAAUUAAUCGUGCAUCAUGGCAGCAAACACAACUCCUCACGUCGAAAUAAUUAUCGUCGGAUAAUCGUUUUGAUCCGGGUUCCCGGAAGUGUUAAUUUCGACACCGGAACCCACCGUCGCUCACCCGUCAUUUCUGAACACUCGAAAUGAUGCGAGUGACCAGCCAACAAGGCUCAGCGACUACACAAUAGCUCACGAAGCACCGUCGGAAUAAUUCCGAACCGAACCCGCAUUCCGUCGGCGGAUUUCGCCGGGAAACGCUCCGAAAAUCACUUUUUGAUUUCCACAAAGGCUUAGGGCCUUGGACGAUCAGUCCAGAGGUUAUUCUCAACCCUAACUUGCUGCCAACAGCAGCCUCGAAGAAAAAAAUUGCAUAAAAGCCCUUACCGAUGCAUAAACUCGCACCAUUUAUGUGGUUUCGGAGCUUUUAUGGGCCGUGCGCGCAAACCAGAGAUCGAUUAAUCAGACCGUCGCACUUGCUGAUAGGUUUCAGCAUGUCGGAGGCCAUGCUCACCUUUCGGAGCACUGCCGGCCACUGUGGUGCGCGCACGAGCGAUGCAAAAAUCUGUGAAACUGCACGCACAGCGCAAAGAUUGCGAUUAACUCGCUAACCAGGGUAUCUUUGCCCCUGUCGGCGGUGAGCACAAUAUUCAGCACGAGUUGUAGAUCAUCGUGCUCACUUCCCAAAGUUUAGAAGGCUUAUCGGAUCACCGGAAAGAUGACCAGAACCUCGGAAUUUAGUGUUGGAGCAUAAAAUAGCCUUACCAGACCCGAGAGAGCUAGGGUUGACUGUCGGCGGUCGGACGGCGGGCGGUCCGGCCAGGGAAGGGUGCGGCCGGUCGGUGGGGUUCGGGGAACCUGCUGGCCGGCGGCGGGAGGCGUCCGGUGGCGCAGUGGUAGAGAUCAAGUCCCUCCACUCCUUCUCGGGUUCAAGCUUCCCGGCGGCGCGGCGGCAGCCGGAGGAGGUCGGGCCGGCGACGAUCCGGUACCGGAGGCCGAGGGGAAGGCGAUGCGCCCCGCAGUGGGCGGCGGUGAUGCGCGGUUGCCGGGAUGGCUCGGCCUCGUCUCGCACCAGUCCUGGGCGGCCGCAGGAUGCCCGAGUGGAGGCCGACGGCGCGCGGGGAUGACCGAACGGCAAGCGGGAGGUCGUCGGAGUUGACUGGAGGGCGGCACGGCCGGCGGGGAGCGGUGGCUGCGCACGCACCCCGAUCUCGAGCCCGCUUGGUCUGGGUUGACGCGAGUUGGCCCGAGCCUGCUCCAGCGGCGCCGGCGACGUGCGGCGACGGCGGGGAUGGCUGGUGAUGAUGUCGGAAGAAGAUCUUGGCCGAGGGGGAAAGAUUCCUGGGGGUUAUGAAGCUUUCCCAAUAAUUUUCGGUCAAGAUGGUGGAGAGGGUGGCCGAGGGAGGAGAAGAGGGGGUUCAGGUGGGUUCUCCCGCGACCGGAGUUGCUUGCUGGAGGUCGGGGCACGCGCACGGUGAGGGCAAGGGUUUGUUGGGGAGGUGAGAAGGCUUUAGGAUUAGGGUUUCCUUGUGAAACCGUAACACCUAAAUGUAUACAUAGAUGUAUAGUUGCGGAAGGGCCCUCCCAAGCAUUUUAUUUAAAGCCCAGCCCCUGCCAGAAUGUGUAUUAUGCGUACACGUCCCUUGGCGUUUGAAUUCAUGCGAAACGGCGCAUAAAAUAUAGGGUCUUUUCGUGAUUUAUCCGUUUUGCCAAUUUGACCCCUUAGUGGACUUUUCGCGAUUCCCGAAGAUCCGUCCGUCGGAUAUCCGAACAGAUUGCGCCAGCGCGUUCAGCAUGACCGGGGCAUCGAAUUUAGCAUCUCGUUUCAUCCGAUUUGGUCUCCGAUAUGCGACAGAACCUACCCUCUUUGUUUUCACUAUGUAGCCACUUAUAUUAAUACAUGUGAAACCAAUCAAACCCCUUUUCUCGACAACCGUGCAUUAUAACUCAAUUCCGUCAGUGCCAUUAGGUCCAGAACAGUCGAGCCGUUCGAAAUGAUCUAUUGGAGCGCUAUGUUCGGAGUCCAAUGCGCACCAGAACCGUCUUCUACUCACUGGCUCCUUCGAAAAGCCGGAGUUACUAUUCACUUUAAGUUAUCGGUUCAGGUCGUGAAACUUCUCCAUCUUAACUCGUUUUCUCCUGAAACUUGACGGGUGCUUAUGUAAUUAAUUACACACAUAAACAUCGUCAACAGAAAGUUUAGUUGCACUGUCAAAAUCUCAGUCCUUACAUAGAAUAUUUUAUAGGCUGCCACAUUUGCAAAUAAACCCUCUAUCUCUUUUUAUUUGCAGCAGACCCAGCCUGCUGUUCGUAGCAUUGCGUACCGGUACGCGGGAGGGCAUCACCGGUAUGCCCCCUGUUCAACAGCCCAACCCAAGAGCUACUGUCUCUCGGGUUGCUGCAGGGUACUAAUAAUACCAGGACAGUCAUCGGUUAAGUCGUCGUGCAGAGACCAAACUCGAGAUCUGCCAGUUCUCGGUUUGCUGCCUAGUACUGGUACGGCCUUGAUGCUUCACCGGUUAACAAUGCUCCAGAAUGCAGUUUUGCAUUGUUUCAACUCCAAUUUGUGCUGAGCAAUGCUAAUACUUUUCUAACUCACUUGGAACUCAACUUUAACCCUUCCAACAUUGUUGAAAUGUCAAAUGGACUUUGUCUAACUAUUUCUCUCGCACACUUUGAUCAAUUUGACUAAAGUUCGAUAUACUCUACCGAAGUUUCGGUAUAUUACAUUCUCCACCCCUUAAAAUUAGUUUCGCCUGCGAAACUAACCCAUACCUUAGCUCGUCGACUCAAAUAAGUGAGGACACGCCUUUCGCAUUGUCUCCUCGAGCUCCCAGGUGGCUUCACGCACCGCAUGGUUGCUCCACUGGACUUAGACAUAGGGGAUUGUGUGACUUCGCAAUUUCCUUUCUUCUCUACCGAGGAUACACACCGGGUACUCCUCAUAGGUCAUGUUCUCGUGCAAUUCCACGGGUUCAUACUCUAGCACGUGAGUCGAAUUGCGAAUAUACUUGCGGAGAUUUGACACAUGAAACACAUUGUGGACUCCCGCAAGCCUCGGUAGUAAUGCAAGCUUGUAUGCCACUGCACCGACCCGCUCCAAUAUCUCGAACGGUCAAACAUACUGGGGACUUAGUUUCCCACGGACUCCAAACCACUUUACUCCUCGUAUCGGCGAUACUUUCAAAAAUACGCGGUCUCCAACCGUGAACUCUAAAUCCUUUCUCCGCUUGGCGGCAUAGCUCUUUUGUCGAGAUUGUGCCGUCGCAAGUCAUUGGCGGGCAAGGCGAACUUUUUCUUUCGCCUCCCGCACCACAUCGGGGCCAAGAGUAACUCUUUGGCCCACAUCACUCCAAUGGAUAGGAGAGCGAUACUUCUUUCGAUAAAGGGCUCGAAUGGCGCCAUCGCGAUACUUUCUCAAUAACUAUUGUUGUAUCGAAUUCCGCCAUCGGUAAAUAGUUGUGCGAUCUGCCCUUGUAAUCAAGUACACAUGCUCGAAGCAUAUCCUCAAGGAUUUGUAUUGUCUUCUCCGAUUGACCAUCAUUUUGAGGAUGAAAUGCGGUACUAAAGUCGAGCCGUGUGCCCAAAGCGUCUUGUAAGCUCUUCCCAAAGUGAGAUGUGAACCUAGGGUCUCAAUCCAAUACAAUAGACACCGGAACCCCAUAUUGUCUCACAACCUCGUUGAGGUACACUUGAGCCAACUUAUCUCCGGACCAUGUAGUGUGGAUCGGCAAGAAGUAUGCCGAUUUCAUCAACCGGUCCACAACCACCCAAAUUGCAUUAUGCCCGGCUUGAGACCGAGGCAAACCGAUCACAAAAUUCAUUGCGAUAUCUUUCCAUUUCCAAAUGGGUAUAGAUAAACUUUGCAACUUUUCCGCCGGAAAUCGGCGCUCCGCUUUUACUUGUUGACAUGUAAGGCAUUGCGCCACGAACUUCCUAAUAUCUUUCUUCAUGCCCGGCCACCAAUAAUGCACUUUUAAGUCUUGGUACAUCUUAGUGCCACCCGGGUGAAUGCUAUAGGGAGAUUGAUGCGCUUCUUGCAUUAUCGCCUUUCGAAUGUCCUCGUCUUUAGGCACAUACCAACGAUUUCAGAAUCGAAGUGCGCCAUCGGUCCCAAUACCGAAAUCAUCGGUACUACCGUUUUCAACUUCAUCACGCAUCUUUUGGAGAUAUUCAUCGGAAGCUUGUAGCUCUUUAAUCUUCUCCAACAAGGUUGGUUGCACCACCAAUGCGGCAAGGCUAGCCGGCACCCCCGGGGCCACUACUUCCAAACAAAACCGUUGCAUCUCUUUUUGCAAUAACGGUUGGGGUGCGAUUGCCGUAACCAAGUUUUUUACCGAUUUUCUACUUAGUGCAUCGGCCACGACAUUUGCCUUUUCCGGGUGGUAUAGAAUAGUGACAUCAUAAUCUUUUAGCAACUCCAACCACCGCCGUUGUCGCAUAUUUAAUUCUUUUUGGUGAACAAGUAUUUGAGACUCUUAUGAUCCGUGUAAAUCUCACAAUGCUCACCGUACAAGUAAUGCCUCCACAACUUUAGCGCGAAUAUCACUGCGGCUAGCUCGAGGUGAUGAAUCGGAUAGUUCUUUUCAUAACUCUUCAAUUGGCGCGAAGCAUAUGUGAUGACUCGCCCAUUUUGCAUCAAGACACACCCGAGACCAAUAUAUGAAGCAUCACUGUACACAACGAAGCUCUCCCCCGGCAUCGAUAGUGCAAGCACCGGGGUUGACGUCAACCUUUCUUUUAAUUCCUCGAAGUUCCGAUCGCAAUCGUCGCUCUAAAAUAUACUUUACUCCUUUAUGCGUGAGACGCGUGUAGUGUUCCGAAGUUUUGGAUAGGAUUGGAUGCAGUAUUAGUGACUGGUCGACAUAUCUGGAGAGUGUCGGACUGAGUCGGAGUCAUUUCUGCACGAAAUGGAUGCAGAAAUGGACUUGACACACUCAAAUAGGCAAAACUGGAGUUUUGUCGGUUUCGGGCGCCCAGAACUGGAUUUGGGUCGCCCAGAACUUGAGUGCUGAACUGAGCAGAAUUGAAAACCAAUUCGGAUUCUGGUUUCGGGCGCCCAGAAGUGGGUCCGAAAAUUCACUUUGUGAAUAUCGCCUGUGCUGACACGUGUAUGUGGUAGGUGAGUUCUGUCGGACCACGUUAGGGGCACAGCAGACCGUAGGUGGAGGAACCGAAGAGGAGUGGUUGUAUGACUUGGAGGUUUUGGACGCCCAGAAGAGUGUUUCGGGUGCCCGAAAGUGUAGAGUUCUGCAGGGACAGCAGGUUAGUGUUUCUUAUUCCUUGGGCUUAUCAGACCAUUUCACCUCUCUAUAAAAGCUUGGGUGCAAUCCCCUGAGAAGCCUUUUCACCCUUCUUCACAAAGAAACCCAAUUUUUGCAUUUGAGCCCUUCAAAUCCUCCAAAUUUGCACAAGUUCACAUUAACGGCUGCAGUUUCAGCAGAUUCCAGCAGCGCGUUUUUACUCGUGUGCGACGUAGGGAGCUCCGAUUGCCACGAAAUUUGGUUUGUUGGUUAGAAGACUUCCUGGAGAUUUCGUGGAGCCCAUUUUGAUAGCAUUUGAUUAAGGUUAGCUUGGUCAAUUUAGUAUUUUUCUGAGCUAUUGGUGGUUUUGAGCUGAAUUUGGGAUUUCUUGUGUUUUCUUGGAUCAAAUCUGGGAUAAAGCUGGAUUUCGGACCUGAGGAGGUUACACCAUCACACUUCACUAGUUUUGAGACCUUUUCUCACCUGAAUUGGAGGUUGAAAGGUAAGUAUUGCAACUAAUUGGAUAUGAUUCAGAUUAGUUACAACAAAUUAGUAUUGCAACUAAUUGGAUAUGAUCCAAAUUAAUUACAAAAGAAUGUAUGCAACUAAUUGGAUAUGAUCCAAUUAGUUAUAACAGAAUGUUGAGGAGUGCCGAUCCGUACGGCUCAAUUAAUUGGAGCUGUGCAUAAAAGGACGCGGCUUCAUUAGUAGGCAACACAUGAAAAUUAAUGUGAAGAGAUUCACAUUAUUCUCUCUCAACCUUUCGUCAAAUAUUUUACUAAAAGGGAACGUGGAUAAGAGAAGACUGCUAGCACUGUCUUUGUAAUCUGCGACUCAUCUGUUCCGUGCGACGGAAGGCGUUGGAUGUGGAUCAAUUCCGUGUGGAUACGCGUAGAGGCCGGGCACGUGCGCGGCUAAUUGGAAUCUCAGUUUCAACCGUACAGUAGAUCAAGAGACCUUAACUGGUCCGAGGUGAUGUAGCCUGAACUUCAAAUCUGUUUAGGUUAGAUUAUUAUUUUACAUUGUAACAUGAGAAUGAUCCGCCGGCACUGGAUUGAUUUGUUUUUGUUUUGAUUCAUAUGCGAUAUGGAUUUUUGUUUUUCGAAAAUACAAUUUUAAUUUCCGCUGCGAUUUUUUUGUGCCGGAUAAAUUCUUAUAGCCCUAACAUCAAUCUUACAAGAUACCUCACCUUAGCCUAGAUGCCCACCAAGCUCCACCUUAUAGGAGAGCCCUAGACCCUUCAAAACUCCAAAUCUCCUCCAAAUCCUCUUCUUGAUCUCCUCCUUUCACUUUGGAGGAGAGUUUCUAGAGAGAGAGAGGGAGAGAAAUGAGAGAGGAGUGUGUUCUCACUACUGUGAAUGAGAGAGGAGAGGUUGGGGUAUUUUAUAGGCUGCCACAUUUGCAAAUAAACCCUCCAUCUCUUUUUAUUUGCAGCAGACCCAGCCUGCUGUUCACAGCACUGCGUACCGGUACGCGGGAGGGCAUCACCGUUUCCCCCCCUGUUCAACAGCCCAACCCGAGAGCUACUGUCUCUCGGGUUGCUGCAGGGUAUUGGUACUACCAGGACAGUCACACCCGCUCGGUAGGAUGCUUCCAGUUUAGGAAUGGUAGCAUUAUCGACGGCUUCGGUAGGAUGCUUCCAACCGAAUUCGAUAGCUUUCCACACCCGCUCAUCGAUUGCGAUUAGAAAAGCUCUCAUGCGAACUUUCCAACGGGCAUAAUUCGUGCCAUCGAAGAGUGGUGGUCGAUUAAUGUUACCACCUUCGGCCAUUAGAUAUCAAUAUAUCUAGAUCCCGCUCUGAUACCAAUUGAAAGUUUUGAGAAGCCCAAGGAUCUAUCUAGAUUGUAUCUAACACCUAGAGGAGGGUGAAUAGGUGUAAUAGCCAAAAACCACAAAUCUCAAUGCCAUCAAAAUAAAUGCGAAAAAUAAAAAUAACACCAAGAUUUACGUGGGAAAACUCCAACUUGGAGAAAAACCCAUGGGACCAACACGCGAAAAAAUAAUUCACUAACAGAAAAGAUUACAAGGUGAUUACCGACUCCACGGACUCGACCUCUCUUAACCUCUUACGAAUCUCGCGCAAUCCUCUGGGUUGUCCACGCCCUCACGUUCUAAUCCACAAACGCCACGUUCCGAAUCCACGAAACGCCUCCACUCCGAAUCCACGAAGCUCACGAUUCGAAUCCACGAACCGCCGUCAAUCACGCUGAAUCCAUGACGCCGUCAUAUGAAGAACAUCAUGUGUACGGUGAUCCUUCGCUUAGAGUAUCGAUGAAAACCAGGAAAGAGAUCUCCAUGCAAAGCGAAGAUCAAAUCGACAUAUAGAUAUGAAAUUCCAAUAUCUCGAUUUGACCUAAAAGAGGCUAAUAUGUAGAAAAUAGGUUUUAGAUGAAAUCUUCGAAAUCGUGAGUUAUUUUUCCGAUUUCUUCGAAAUCUUGAAUUCUUCGAUCUUCAACGAUACGCACCGAUUCUUCAAGACUCCGACUUACUUCACGAAACUUGCCAACACACAAGACUUAACAAUGUGUGCUACGUUUCAGGACGUGAUGGCACCAAGAGGACGCCCUAGUACGCAAUUUGCACCGGCACCGCCUCCUGAGGUGCUCGGGCAGACGUGGUCGGAUGAAGUGCGCGAGCUGCGGGCCUAAGUAGCGACUUUGGCCGGGGCUAUGCGGCAACAGGGGGAGCAAAUUGGACGGCUCCAUAAAUUGGUGGCUCAACAGGCGGCGGCGGCUGCACCUGUACCUCAGGAUCCGCCCGCACAUGUUGCACCUGUAGCACCGCCUCCUGCGGUGGCGGCAGCACCGGUGACGGCUAUUCCUCCGACGGCAUCAGGUUCAUCGGCUCCUAUUCCCGAUGUACUUGAGGCCGAGCAGGAGCGAUCGUUGGCGGUGUUGACGGCCUUCAAGCGAUUCAACCCUCCGACCUUCAACGGUGAUGUGAGGGAUCCGUGGUUGGUGAAGUCGUGGUUGGCCACGAUGGAAGCGUUGUUCAAGGACAUUUAUACCCUCGAGAAGGAUAAGGUUCAUCUUGCGGCCCAUUGCUUCGAGGGGUCGGCGCGGCUAUGGUGGACAUAAGCGAAGAAAAGUCACUCGUUGGAACUCGCUUCCGUUACUUGGGAGGCAUUUUGGGAGAUGCUAUUGAUGGAGUAUUUUUCCGAGAGUGACAAGCGGAAGAUCAAAGAAGAUUUUCGAAAGUUGAGGCAAGGUAGUCGAACGUGUUAAGGAUUUUAUAGGUUGGCGAAUUUCGUAAAGUUGUUUGGAGUCUUGAAGAGUUGAUCGCAGAAGUUUUGAAGAAGAGAUUCAAAUUGGAGAACGAAGACUCAUUCGGAAAGCUCGACACCUAAGGUAUAAAGAAAAGAUCAUUUGUGGUGAAAAUAUCUAAUUAGAAUAAGUUCAGGAGGCUUAGAUUGCUUUAAAACAACUUUUCUGAACUUUCAUGUAUUCUGGGACCGGUCCCUGAAAUGGAGAGACUGGUUCCCCUAAGCUCCUCACUGCGUGAACCUUGAUGCAACCGGUCCCCUGUGAUGAGAGACCGGUUCCCGAACCAUGGUGUUUCUGUCGCGCAGCGAGGGACCGGUCUCAAGUUUGAGAGACCGGUUCCCGAACGUUGGGAUUUUGGUCACGCAGAGAGGGACCGGUUCCUCACUUGAGAGACCGGCCUCUCACAGACCGGUCUCCUCGAGAAGACCGGUCUCUGAGGACGCAUAGGUUUUUAAAAAGGACGUUUUGCAAUCCUAGUCUACUUCUAAGUCUUCUAAACAUAUAAAUAAGCUAUGUGGGUCAUCAAAAAGUUUAAGACUUUGAAUGUUUACCGAUUCUAAAUCCUAGAAACUCAUUUUUUUCUCCGUUUUCAAUGUUUAGAUUUACAUAAUGAGUUUCUAACAAUCAACAUUGGCUUGAUUCUUCGUUUUUACUCGAUACCUCUUACGAGAAUCAAGUAGAUGUUUGACAAAAGGUGAAUCCUCAUAGCUUAUGGUAUUAAAAGGUCAAAUCAUCACAAAUCUUCGAUUCUACAAGCUCCGGAAGGAGGUUCGGCGCGUGGAUCUCGCGUGAAGCCGAGGAUUCGGUGGACGCUUCGAGGAAUUGAGGCGUUGAUGCUGCGAGGAGUUGCAGCAAGGUCGAUUGGUGGAUUCUUAUCGAUCGAGGACCGGCGAAGAUCAUCAUCUACGGGAAAUUGGUAAAUUGAGUCGUGUGUUUUGGUCAAAAUCACUUGUACUCAUGUUUUCUUAGUGGAUUUUCUUUGCGUGAUUGGUCCCGUGGGUUUUU